ACGCCUAAUAACUAGCCCACCAGCAAGAAGAAACCCCCACAUAAUACUCUAACAAGACCUACAUUAAUACAACAAACCAUUUUACCCCCUUAGUAUAGGAGAUAGAAAAGGAA
This 113-nucleotide ribosomal RNA is filed under the name Neobythites stigmosus. RNAcentral's name for it is "partial 16S rRNA". Lineage: Eukaryota; Metazoa; Chordata; Actinopteri; Ophidiiformes; Ophidiidae. The record is from RNAcentral.